UACGUAGGGUGCGAGCGUUGUCCGGAAUUACUGGGCGUAAAGAGCUCGUAGGUGGUUUGUCGCGUUGUUCGUGAAAACUCACGGCUUAACUGUGAGCGUGCGGGCGAUACGGGCAGACUAGAGUACUGCAGGGGAGACUGGAAUUCCUGGUGUAGCGGUGGAAUGCGCAGAUAUCAGGAGGAACACCGGUGGCGAAGGCGGGUCUCUGGGCAGUAACUGACGCUGAGGAGCGAAAGCGUGGGGAGCGAACAGG
This 253-nucleotide ribosomal RNA is filed under the name uncultured bacterium. RNAcentral describes it as "partial 16S ribosomal RNA". It matches the Rfam family "Bacterial small subunit ribosomal RNA", at positions 524 to 776 of the family's 1533-position model. The record is from RNAcentral.